AUACAUGCAAGUCGUACGCUUCUUUUUCCACCGGAGCUUGCUCCACCGGAAAAAGAAGAGUGGCGAACGGGUGAGUAACACGUGGGUAACCUGCCCAUCAGAAGGGGAUAACACUUGGAAACAGGUGCUAAUACCGUAUAACAAUCGAAACCGCAUGGUUUUGAUUUGAAAGGCGCUUUCGGGUGUCGCUGAUGGAUGGACCCGCGGUGCAUUAGCUAGUUGGUGAGGUAACGGCUCACCAAGGCCACGAUGCAUAGCCGACCUGAGAGGGUGAUCGGCCACAUUGGGACUGAGACACGGCCCAAACUCCUACGGGAGGCAGCAGUAGGGAAUCUUCGGCAAUGGACGAAAGUCUGACCGAGCAACGCCGCGUGAGUGAAGAAGGUUUUCGGAUCGUAAAACUCUGUUGUUAGAGAAGAACAAGGAUGAGAGUAACUGUUCAUCCCUUGACGGUAUCUAACCAGAAAGCCACGGCUAAGUACGUGCCAGCAGCCGCGGUAAUACGUAGGUGGCAAGCGUUGUCCGGAUUUAUUGGGCGUAAAGCGAGCGCAGGCGGUUUCUUAAGUCUGAUGUGAAAGCCCCCGGCUCAACCGGGGAGGGUCAUUGGAAACUGGGAGACUUGAGUGCAGAAGAGGAGAGUGGAAUUCCAUGUGUAGCGGUGAAAUGCGUAGAUAUAUGGAGGAACACCAGUGGCGAAGGCGGCUCUCUGGUCUGUAACUGACGCUGAGGCUC
This 732-nucleotide ribosomal RNA is filed under the name Enterococcus sp. Its description in RNAcentral is "bacterial SSU rRNA". It matches the Rfam family "Bacterial small subunit ribosomal RNA", at positions 51 to 754 of the family's 1533-position model. The record is from RNAcentral. Lineage: Bacteria; Bacillati; Bacillota; Bacilli; Lactobacillales; Enterococcaceae.